AGUGAACGCUGGCGGUAGGCCUAACACAUGCAAGUCGAACGGCAGCACAGUAAGAGCUUGCUCUUACGGGUGGCGAGUGGCGGACGGGUGAGGAAUACAUCGGAAUCUACUUUUUCGUGGGGGAUAACGUAGGGAAACUUACGCUAAUACCGCAUACGACCUACGGGUGAAAGCAGGGGAUCUUCGGACCUUGCGCGAUUGAAUGAGCCGAUGUCGGAUUAGCUAGUUGGCGGGGUAAAGGCCCACCAAGGCGACGAUCCGUAGCUGGUCUGAGAGGAUGAUCAGCCACACUGGAACUGAGACACGGUCCAGACUCCUACGGGAGGCAGUAGUGGGGAAUAUUGGACAAUGGGCGCAAGCCUGAUCCAGCCAUACCGCGUGGGUGAAGAAGACCUUCGGGUUGUAAAGCCCUUUUGUUGGGAAAGAAAAGCAGCAGGUUAAUACCCCGCUGUUCUGACGGUACCCAAAGAAUAAGCACCGGCUAACUUCGUG
This 492-nucleotide ribosomal RNA is filed under the name uncultured bacterium. RNAcentral describes it as "partial 16S ribosomal RNA". It matches the Rfam family "Bacterial small subunit ribosomal RNA", at positions 29 to 507 of the family's 1533-position model. The record is from RNAcentral.